UAGUCCACGCCGUAAACGAUGAGCGCUAAGCAUCGGAUUUUUUCGGUGUUGAAGCUAACGCGUUAAGCGCUCCGCCUGAGGACUACGAUCGCAAGAUUAAAACUCAAAGGAAUUGACGGGACCCGCGCAAGCGGUGGAGUAUGUUGUUUAAUUCGAUGCAACGCGAGAAACCUUACCACUUCUUGACAUGUUGGUUAAAUCUUAAUGAAAGUUAAGAGUCGGUUCGGCCGGACCAUCACAGGUGUUGCAUGGCUGUCGUCAGCUCGUGUCGUGAGAUGUCAGAUUAAGUUCUGUAACGAGCGCAACCCUUACCUUUAUUUGCUAACAGGUCGUGCUGAGGACUAUAGAGGGACUGCCAGUCAUAAACUGGAGGAAGGAGAGGAUGAUGUCAAGUCAUCAUGGGCCCUUAUGAAGUGGGGCUACAAACGUACUACAAUGGUAAGCUACAACGAGAAGCAAUAUCGCAAGGGUGG
Molecule: ribosomal RNA, 473 nt
Filed under: uncultured bacterium
Lineage: Bacteria
Description: bacterial SSU rRNA
Rfam family: Bacterial small subunit ribosomal RNA
Source: RNAcentral